RNAcentral lists this ribosomal RNA (494 nucleotides) under uncultured bacterium. Its description in RNAcentral is "bacterial SSU rRNA". It matches the Rfam family "Bacterial small subunit ribosomal RNA", at positions 36 to 523 of the family's 1533-position model. The record is from RNAcentral.
CUGGCGGCGUGCUUUCAAACAUUAGCAAGUCGUAACGAGUUUAAUUUUUGUAAGCUUUGCUUUUAGAAUUUAACUUUAGUGGCGAUUGUGAGUAACGCGUGAGUAAUCUGCCUAUCACAGGGGGAUAACAGAGGGAAACUUCUGCUAAUACCGCAUAAGACCACAGGAUGGCAUCAUCAAGGGGUCAAAGGUUAGAUCUGGUGAUAGAUGAGCUUGCGUAUCAUUAGCUAGUUUGGUGAGGGUAAAGGCCCACCAAGGCGACGAUGAUUAGCCGAUCUGAGAGGAUGACCGGCCACACUGGGACUGAGAUACGGCCCAGACUCCUACGGGAGGCAGCAGUUAGGAAUAUUUGGGCAAUGGAGGAAACUCUGACCCAGCAACGCCGCGUGAAGGAAGAAGGUUUUCGGACUGUAAACUUCUGAUCUAAGGGAAAAAGAAAGUGAUGGUACCUUAGGAGAAAGCCACGGCUAACUACGUGCCAGCAGCCGCGGUAA